Long non-coding RNA from Trichechus manatus latirostris (Florida manatee), 972 nucleotides. RefSeq lists it as uncharacterized. Lineage: Eukaryota; Metazoa; Chordata; Mammalia; Sirenia; Trichechidae. The transcript has 4 exons. The record is from RefSeq and is a predicted model, not a curated record.
CAAGUUCUACUUUGUUCCACAGGCUCCUCUGCUCAGGACUGCACACGGAUAAAAUCCGAAGGGAAGCCAAGCCCUGCCUUCCAGGAGUUUAUAACUUUUCCCUCCCUUGUAACGAAAACCUAAUCGCCACCGUUUCUAGAAGCAAAUAUUUCCCCUGAUAGACGUUCCAAGGUUGAGGAAACGGGAACACCGGCCUGUGGGGUGAGGAGACCUUGACCUGCCUCGGGGGCGUUACAAACGGGGCUCUCCCGACGAUAGGGAGAAAAACAGCGUCCAAAGAGGCCGGGAGAUUUACUUUGUGAGCCAUCCAGACCUGCUGCUGAGCACUCGCGCUCGGCUUUUAGGAGUGCUAGACUUACUUGUAAGAAAUUGAUUGGUAUUGCUAUGGUAAGAGAAACAAACUUGCUCCUCGAGAAGUGGUGCUAUUGUUACAUCAAUUAUGUAUAAUGUCACAUUCAGUUCUCUCAUCAACCACAUAAGAACGCGCCAGUGGCACUGUAAGCACAUAACUUGUGAUGCAUCUGGUCCUGUCCUGCGCAAAGCGAACCAAAAUGCAUCUUCAAAUUGAGCAUACCCUUGUAUUUAUAUCAUAUUCUUUGCGAUCACUCUCGCCUCUGUUGAGUAUCGGCAGUAGUCCACUGAACUGUGAAGACGUAGCAUCAAAGGACAGAAAGUAAAGUGAAAUGGCAAUAACUAAGUAGAGCAUAAAAACAAAAGCUUACAGAAGAUAAAAAGAAAAGGAUUUGUGAGUCCCUAAAGACAAUUCCAAAAUUAACUUCCUUUUUAAAACAUAAUCAGAAAAGACUUUUUCCAUUGAAUAUCAAGUUUAAUGAGUGCAAUUGUUUUAUUAGUACUGUUAGUGCUGAAAUUAGGCCUCUUUAAAGUGUUAAAAGCAAAGAUGCCACCUUGACGGCUAAGGUGCGCCUGACCCAAGCCAUAGUGUUUUCAAUCGCUUCAUAUGCAUGUGAAAGC